UCCAGAAUAAAGACUUGAGAAAGGAAC
This 27-nucleotide non-coding RNA is filed under the name Homo sapiens (human). Lineage: Eukaryota; Metazoa; Chordata; Mammalia; Primates; Hominidae. The record is from RNAcentral.